AACGAACGCUGGCGGCAUGCCUAACACAUGCAAGUCGAACGAGACCUUCGGGUCUAGUGGCGCACGGGUGCGUAACGCGUGGGAACCUGCCCUUAGGUUCGGAAUAACUCCCCGAAAGGGGUGCUAAUACCGGAUAAUGUCUUCGGACCAAAGAUUUAUCGCCUUUGGAUGGGCCCGCGUUGGAUUAGCUAGUUGGUAGGGUAAAAGCCUACCAAGGCGACGAUCCAUAGCUGGUCUGAGAGGAUGAUCAGCCACACUGGGACUGAGACACGGCCCAGACUCCUACGGGAGGCAGCAGUGGGGAAUAGUGGACAAUGGGCGAAAGCCUGAUCCAGCAAGGACGCGUGAGUGAUGAAGGCAUUAGGGUUGUAAAGCUCUUUUAACCGGGAUGAUAAUGACAGUACCGGGAGAAUAAGCUCCGGCUAACUCCGUG
Molecule: ribosomal RNA, 433 nt
Filed under: uncultured bacterium
Lineage: Bacteria
Description: partial 16S ribosomal RNA
Rfam family: Bacterial small subunit ribosomal RNA
Source: RNAcentral